Molecule: transfer RNA, 73 nt
Filed under: Pelodiscus sinensis (Chinese soft-shelled turtle)
Lineage: Eukaryota; Metazoa; Chordata; Testudines; Trionychidae
Rfam family: tRNA
About the family: Transfer RNA (tRNA) molecules are approximately 80 nucleotides in length.
Source: Rfam by way of RNAcentral
GCCCCAGUGGCUUAAUGGACCAGGCACUGGCCUCUAGAACCAGGGGUUGUGGGUUCAAGUCCCACCUGGGGUA